This 119-nucleotide ribosomal RNA is filed under the name Pteropus alecto (black flying fox). Lineage: Eukaryota; Metazoa; Chordata; Mammalia; Chiroptera; Pteropodidae. The record is from RNAcentral.
GUUUACAGCAAUGCCACCCUGAACAUGCCCAAUCUCGUCUGAUCUUGGAAGCUAAGCAGGGUCAGGACUGGUUAGUACUUGGGUGGGAGACCACCUUGGAACACCAGGUGCUAUAGACA